UUUUUUGGAUUAUGUGGUGUGGUCAUUCUAAAAAUUUAAUUACAUUUCAAAGUAAUAUAAGCAUUCCAUUUGGUGUGAGCGCUGCUUAAGAAUCCAAUGCUUUGUUAUAACUUCUAGAUUAGGUGUGAUGUUGAUAUUAUGUCCUAGCUGUUAUGCUUAUGUUUUUGUGGUUUUUGCACACAAUUUCGUAAUGGUUCCACUUGGUACUAGGUAUCUGGUGUUCAGUUGCUUGCCUUCUCUAUAGCCACUUCUGCUAUUUUUGUUUGGAGUAACCAACGAGAUUUACUCAACUUCGCCUUCUCUUAUUCUCAUAAAUUAUCAGAAAUUUUUUCCCCCUCUUCUGAGCAAGAUGAUGAAGUGGAUAGAAAACGAAAAGCUUUUAUUUUGUGUAUGCUUAUUAUCUCAAGUUUUCAACAAUGUUUGAGAGAUAUAUCCGUAAAGCUGUUUUCUCCUCCAAGCAGAGUCCAUUUUGCUCUAUUAUAGACCUUUUUUUUUUCUAUCACUAGAUGUAAUCGCCUAGCAAUAGAAAAUAAUAUUCCCAUAGAAGUAGCUUUAUUGAAUAAAUUGCAUAGUGUGCUAAUAAGCAGUAACUUUCCUUAAAACUACUACCAUAUAUGUUAAUGCUACAUCUCAGAUUGUAAAUGCUUCAAUCUUGUUAAACCUUGUGACAAUGUGUCCCAGAUUCAGUCUCACGGUGCAGCUGGUUAUGCCACGGCCACUACUACUGGCGAUAGCAUCCAGAGUUGGCAAAUUGUGUUGAAAUUGGGCUCCCUGCAUUGGUUAUUCUGGUGAUAUUGUCCCAGUUUUUACCGUGCAGAUAAAGUCACUGCCUCUUUGUAAAGCUCCAAGGCAAUACAAGUAUGACUCACAAGGCUAAGCUUAUAGGAGGAUAUUCUAUUCAAUAGAAAGUUGGAACGGACAAUUGAAAAAGUCAAGAAGGAAAAACUGAAACAGAAGAGAUAGAAUGAGGCUUAUGUUAGCUAUUAUGAGAAGGUUAGAGCGUCAAGUAGUUUUAGUGUUGUUCCUCUACCACCACCACCACCGCCACCCUCAAUCUCUUUGGAUGGGGACUAUGAUGAUGAUGAGGAUGAAGAUGACACUAAAGACUAUAGCUGAUAGUUUUAGUAUGGUUGAACAAUAUAUUCUGAAAAUUAUAGUUGAUGAUCAAUACACUUUGUUUAUGUUUUGAAUUAUAUUGACUUGCUUGUUUAUAAUACU
Molecule: non-coding RNA, 1218 nt
Organism: Arachis ipaensis
Lineage: Eukaryota; Viridiplantae; Streptophyta; Magnoliopsida; Fabales; Fabaceae
Source: RefSeq, a predicted model, not a curated record